Peromyscus eremicus (cactus mouse) is the source of this 620-nucleotide long non-coding RNA. RefSeq lists it as uncharacterized. Lineage: Eukaryota; Metazoa; Chordata; Mammalia; Rodentia; Cricetidae. The record is from RefSeq and is a predicted model, not a curated record. The transcript is spliced from 5 exons.
CACUGGAGCUUUGAGAAUGCCAACUCCGGGAGAAGUCAUUGCGGCCUCAGGAGAGAUCAACAAGAGCUGUCCUAUCGGGAGCACGGAGAGUGGGGCGGAAGUUCCUCACUCGCCAUUUUUCUUCUUGGCGCCGAGGCAUUCGCAUUGCUGUUUUGUUAGCUGAAUGUGUCUGGGUUGGCUGAGCCUCCGAGGCGGUGAGACGGCCGCGCACACGGGAGACUUGGGUGUAGACUUGGUACAAACUCAGACUGAUUCCGGGCAAGAGUAUCCUCGCUGGUGAAGGAGGGAGCAUUUCUACCUGUGGAGUCAGGCAGUGGGCAUGGAGACUAUGACCUUUGAGGAUAUAGCUGUCAUCUUUACUUUGGAAUAGUGGGCUUUGCUGGAUCCUUCUCAGAUGAAAUUCUACAGAGAUGUAAUGGAGGAAACUUUCAGGAAUCUGGCCUCUAUAGAACAAGCACAGGAAUGCCAGAAUAUUGAAGAUAGCCACAAAAUUUCCUGGAGACUAAGUUCCAGGGAAUUCAAUGCAUUCUUCUAGGACCAGGAAAGAAGAUGGUAUACAACUGUACAAGAAAGUAACAUACCACACACAUAAAAUAAAAAUAAGUCUUUUAAAAAGUUUU